RNAcentral lists this long non-coding RNA (6662 nucleotides) under Homo sapiens (human). RNAcentral describes it as "HSALNT0037853". The stretch from base 757 to 904 matches the Rfam family "Metazoan signal recognition particle RNA". Lineage: Eukaryota; Metazoa; Chordata; Mammalia; Primates; Hominidae. The record is from RNAcentral.
CCGUCUCUACUAAAAAUACAAAAAUUAGCCGGGCGUGGUGGCACGCGCCUGUAACCCCAGCUACUCAGGAAGCUGAGGCAGGAGAAUUGCUUGAAUCCAGGAGGCAGAGGUUGCAGUGAGCCGCCAUUGUGCCAUGGCACUCCAGCCUGGGCAACAGAGUGAGACUCUGUCUCAAAAAAAUAAAUAAAUAAAUAAAUAAAAUAAGGCAUUAUUGGUAGACCCCAAGGCAACACUAAGAAAAUAACUUUUAAAAAAUGUACUAAAAGAAAUGGGAAAGGAAUUAAAAUGGUAAACUACUAAAUUUUUUGAACAAAACAGGAGACAGCAGUGGAGGAACAAAGAAGAUAAGACAUACAGAAAACAAAGAGCAAAAAAGGAGAGGGAAUAUGUGAAUAUAAUGAAUAACAUUUUGUCAGUAAAUCAACUUACAUGAAAUGGACAAAUUCCUGGAAGAUAAAAACUACCAAAACUGACUCAAGAAUAAAUAGGCAAUCUGAAUAGACUCAUAGUAAGUGAUAAGAUUCAAUUAGUAAUUUGUAAAAACUACCUACACAGAAAAGUCCAGGCCCAGAUGACUUCACCAUUGAACUCUACUAAACAUUUAAAGAAGAAUUAGCCUGGGUGCAGUGGCUUAUGCCUGCAAUCCUAGCACUUUGGGAGGCCAAGGCAAGUGCAUCACUUGAGCUCAGGAGUUCGAGACCAGCCUGGGCAACAUGGCGAAAUCCCUUCUCUACAAAAAAAAAAAUUAAAAAAUUAGCCAGGCAUGGUGGUGUACACCUGUAGUCCCAGCUACUGAGGAGGCUGAGACAGGAAGAUUGCUUGAGCCCAGGAGGUCAAGGCUGCAGUGAGCCAUGAUCACACUACUGCACUCCUGCCUGGGCAACAGAGUGAGACCCUGUCUCAAAAAGAAGGAGAAGGGAGGAGAAGGAGAAGGGAGAAAGAGGGAGAAGAAGAAGAGGAGAAGGAGGAGGAAGAGGAAGGAGGGAGGAGGAGGGAGGGUGGAGGAGGGAGACGGAAAAGACGGAAGAGAAGGAGGAGAAGGAAAGGAAGGAAGGAAGGAAGGAAGAGAAAGAGAAGAAAAAGAAGAAUGAUUAGUGCCAAUUCUUCAUGAAUUCUUCCCAAAAAUAGAAGAAGGCACUUCCCAUCACAUUUUAUGAGGUCAGAAUUACCCUGAUGCUCAAACUGACCAAAGACAACAUGAGAAAACUACAGACCAAUAUCUUUCAUGAAUAUGGAAGCAAAUGUUCUCAACAAAAUACUAGCAAACCAAAUCCAGCAACAUAUGAAAAGAAUUAUACACCAGGACCAAGCAGGAUUUAUCCUGGGAAUGCAAAGAUGGUUUAACACCUGAAAAUUAAUGUAAUACAUCAUAUGAAUAGGACAGAAACUCAAAAAUGCUAUGAGUAUCUCAAUAGUUGUAGAAAAAGCAUUUGCCAAAAUGAAAUACCCUUUCAUAAUAAAAAAAAAAACCAACAAACUAGAGGCAGAGUGAAAUCUCAACAUGACAAAGGGUACCUACAGAAAAAAACCCAUAGUUAACGUCAUACUAAAUGGCAAAAGACUAGAAGCUUUCCCCCAGUUAUGGUCUGAAUGUUUGUGUCCCCCACAAGUUCGUAUGUUGAAACCUAAUCCCCAGUGGAAUAGUAUUAAGAGGUGCGACCUACCUAUGUAACAAACCUGCACGUUCUGCACAUGUAUCCAAGAACUUAAAGUAUAAUUAAAAAUAAAAAGAGGUGCAACCUAUAGAAAGUGAUUAUGUCAUGAUGGCAUCAUCCUCAUGAAUUUGAUUACUGCCCUUAUCAAAGAGGCCCAAGAGAGCUUGUUUGCCCCUUCUGCCAUGUGAGGAUUCAAUAAGAAGUUGCCAUCUAUGAGGCACAGACCAAACUCUUACCAGACAUUGAAUCUACUGGCACCUUGAUCUUGGACUUCCUAGCCCCCAGAGCUGUGAGCAAUAAAUUUGUGUUGUUAAUAAGUUACCCAGUCCAAGAUAUUUUGUUAUAACAGGCCGAACAGACUAAGACACCCCCUAAGAUCUGGAAAAGACAGGAAUGUCCUCUCUCACCACUUCUGUUCAACAUUGUAUUGGAGCUUCUAGCCAGGGAAAUCAGAAAAGAAAGAAAGAAAGAGAGAGAGAAAGGGAAAUAAAAGUUAUUGAAAUGGAAAAAUAAAAAUAUCUCUAUUUGCAGAUUUAAUGAUCUUGUAUAUAAAAAUCUCUAAGGAAUCCACUAAAAAACUAUUAGAACAACAAUGAGUUCUGUAAGGUUUCAGGAUACAAGAUUGACAUAUGAAAAUCAAUCAUAUUUCUUAAGCUUGCAAUGAAUAAUCCAAAAAUGAAAGUACGAAACCCAUUUACAAUAGCAUCAAAAAGAACAAAAUACAGUGGCUCAUGCCUGUAAUCCUAACACUUUGGGAGGCUGAGGCAGAAGGAUCGCUUGAGGCCAGGAGUUCAGAAUCAGCCUGGACAAUAUAGGGAGACCCUACUAAAGAUUAAAAGAAUUACUCGGCAUUUUGGGAAGCCAAGGCGGGCAGAUCACUUGAGGUAAGGAGUUUGAGACCAGCCUGGCCAACAUGGCGAAAACCUGUCUCUACUAAAAAUAUAAAAAAUAGCUGGGCAUGGUGGUGGGCGCCUGUAAUCCCAGCUACUCAGGAGGCUGAGGCAGGAGAAUCACUUGAAUGCUGGAAGCAGAGGCUGCAGUGAGCCAAGAUCAUGUCACUGCACUCCAGCUUGGGUGACAAAGACUGUGUCUCAAAAAAAAAAAAAAAAGAUUAACCAGGCAUGAUGAUGGACAUUUUUGGUCCUACCUAUUCAGGAGGCUAGGGCAGGAGGACCACUUCAGCCCAGGAGUUGGAGGUUGCAGUGAGCUGUGAUCACACCAGUGCACUCCAGCCUGGGCAACAGAGUGAGACCCUAUCUCUAAAAUACAUAAAAUAAAAUAAAAUACUUAGGAAUGAAUCUGACAAAGGAAGUGCAAAACUUAUACACUAAAAACCGUAAAAUAUUGUUGAAAAAAUUAAAUAAGCUAUAAAUGAAUUGAACAAAUUCCAUGUUCACAGAAGACUUAACAUUGUUAAGAUAGCAGUCUUCCCCAAAUUGACCUAGAUUCUGAUAAUGCAAUCCUUACCAGAAUCCCUGCCAACUUCUUUGUAGAAAUUGAGAAGCUGAUUUUAAAAUUCAUAUGCAAUUUCAAGGGACCCAGAAUAGCCAAAAUAAUGUUGAAUAAGAACUAAGAGGAGGACUCACACAUCUCAAAACUUACUUUAAAGCAACUAUAAUCAAGACAGUUAAGUAACUGCAAAAGGAUAGUAUAUAGAUCAAUGGAAUAGAAUUCAGAGUCUAGAAAUAAACCCAUACAUCUAUGGUCAGAUGACUUUCAGCAAGAGUGCCAAGACCAUUCAAUGGAGAAAGAACAGUCUCUUUAACAAAUAGUGCUGGGACAACUGCAUAGCCACAUGCAAAAGAAUGAAGUUGGACUCCUACCUGAGAAUAUAUACAAAAAUUAACUCAAAAUGGACCAAAGACAUAAAUUUAAGAGCUAGAUCCAUAAAUCUCUAAGAAGAAAACAUACGGCUAAAUCUUCAUGACCUUAUAUUUGACAAACUAUUUUUAGAGUUCACGCCAAAAGCGUAAGCAACAAAAGAAAGAAACAGAUAGAUUGGACUUCAUCAAAAUUAAGAACUUUUGUGCUUCAGAGGACACUAUCAAAAAAUGAAAAUCAACCCACAGAAUGGGAGAAACUAUUUGCAAGUCAUAUAUCUGAUCAGGGACUUGUAUCUAGACUGUAUAAAGAACUCCUUCAACUCAAUAAUAAAAGGACAAAUAAUCCAACCAAAACAUGGCAAAGGUUCUGAAUACACAUUUUAGGAAGAUAUACGACAGGCCAAUAAGCACAUAAAAAGAUGCUCUAAUCAUUACUAAUCAAGAAAAUGAAAAUCACAACCUUAAUAAGAUACCACUUUACACCCACUAAGAUCGCUGUCAUAAUAGAAACAACAAAAAAGGAAAAUAACAGUGUUCAUGAGAAUAUGGAGAAACUGGAACUCUUCUAAACUGCUGGUGGGAAGUAAAAUGGUACAGCCCCUUUGGAAAACAACCUGGCAGUUAAUCAAAUGAUUAAAGAGUUACCAUAUGACCCAGCAAUACCACUCCUAGGUAUAUACCUAACAGAAAUGAAAACAUGUCUACAUAAAAAUUUGUACACAAAUGCUCAUUGUAGGAUUCGCCAUAAUAGCCACAAAUUGUAAACAAACCAAAUUUUCAUCAGUUGAUGAAUGGAUAACCCAAAUAUGAUAUAUCCAUACAACUGAAUAUUAUUCAGCCAUAAAAGUCAAUGAAGUACUGUUAAAUGUGACAACAUAGAUGAUUCUUGAAGCAUGUUAAGUGAAAGAAAAGCACUCACAAAAGCCCCAUAUUUUAUUAUUCUGUUUUUACAAAAUGCCCAGAAUAGGCAAAUUCAUAAAGACAGAAAGUAGAUUAGUGGUUUCCUAGUGCCAAAGGGAUAAAAGAAUGAGGAAUGACUGCUAAUGGGCAUAGGAUACCUUUUUUGAAUGAUGAAAAUGUUCUUAAAUUAGAUACUUGUGAUGAUUGCACAACUUUGUGAACAUACUAAAAAGCCACUCUGUCAUACUCUAUAACGUGGUGAAUUUUGUGGUAAAUGAAUUAUACCUCAAUUUUAAAAAGUUAUAUUCAGGGUAACACAACAGAAUAAGGAACAUCUACAACAUAUCAUUAACAAUCCCUGGAUACAAUCCCAAAUAACUAGGCAUACUAGUAAACCAGAAAAAGUGACCUUUACUCAGAAGACAAGCAAUAGCUGUUGAGCCUCAGAGCAUACCAGAUGGUAAAUGACCAAAAAAAGGAUUUUAAAACUGCAGUUAUAACUAUGCCCAAAGAGCUAAAGGGGAAGACAAAGUUUAUAAUAAAUAACCAAAUAGAAAAUCUCAAUAGAAAACAAUAUUUAAAAAAAAACAAAAACAAUAACAAAAAAUGGAAAUAUGAGACCAACUUAUAUAAUAAAAAAUUCACUGGAUGUGUUUAGUGACGGAUUGAGGUGACAGAAGAGUCAAUGAACUUGAAGUUCAUAGAAUAGAAAAUAUUCAACCUUAAAUACACGAAGAAAAAGAAAAAAGAGCCGGGUGCGGUGGCUCACGCCUGUAAUCCCAGCACUUUGGGAGGCCGAGGCAGGUGGAUCACAAGGUAAGGAGAUGGAGACCAUCCCGGCUAACACGGUGAAACCCCGUCUCUACUAAAAUUACAAAAAAAUUAGCCGGGCGUGGUGGUGGGCGCCUGUAGUCCCAGCUACUCCGGAGGCUGAGGCAGGAGAAUGGCGUGAACUUGGGAGGCGGAGCUUGCAGUGAGCCGAGAUGAGCGAGACUCCAUCUCAAAAAAAAAAAAAAAAAGAAAGAAAAAAGAAAGAACAGUGCCUUGUGGACUUGUGGGACAAUCAUUAAGAGUUCUAACGCUAAACUAAUUCUAAAGGGACAGGAAAGAGAGAAUAAAGGAGAAAAAUUACUGGGUUAAAUAAUGGCCCAAACUCCCUAAAUUUGGUAAAAGACACAAAUUUAUAGAUUCAAGAAGCUAAGUGCACUCCAACCAGAAUAUGCAGAAAAGUACAUGUAGGCAUGUUUUACCUGCAGAAAUCCAAAGACACAAAUAUAAUAUUGAAACCACAAUGAAGGGGAAGAAAUGGCACACCACAUAGAGAGGAACAAUGACAGAAAUGAAUCUGACCUCUCAUCAGAAAGAAUGGAUGCUAGAGAACAGGUCAGUGAUAUUGUUAAAGUGCCGAAUGUAAAAAAAGUCAACCCAGAAUUCUAUAUCUACCAAAAAUAGUCUUCAAGGACAAAGUCAAAAUAAAGACAUUUUCAGAUAAAUCAUAUUUUUAAAAAUUUGUUGCUAGUGACCCUACAAUACAAAGUAUGCUAAUGAAUGUUUUUCCUGCUGAAGGAAAAUGAUAUCAGAAGGGAACUUGGGUCUUCAAAACAAAAUGAAGAGCACCAGAAAUUGUAAAUCUAUCUAUAAAUAUAAGAAUAUUCUUGCUAAAAAUUUGUUAAAAACACAUAUGACUAUUUAAAGCAAAAAUUAUAAUAUUACACCACGGGGUUUUUAACAUAUAUGGACAUAAUAUGCAUAUGACCACCAUAGCAUAAAUGACAGGACUUGGUAAUUGGCCCAUUUCAUUGAAAGCUUUUUACAUUUUAUUUAAUUUAGUUAUUUACUUUUUUUUUUUUUUUUUUUUUUGAGACAGGGUCUUGUUCUGUUCUGUUGCCCAGACUGGAGUGUAGUGGCUCUAUCAUGGCUCACUGCACUCUCAACCGUUCAGGUUCAAGUGAUCCUCCUGCCUCAGCCUUCUAAGUAGCUGGGACUAUAGGCACACGCCACCAUGCCUGGCUAAUGUUUUUCAUUUUAUUUUCGUAGAGACAGGGUCUCACUAUCUUGCCCAGGCUGGUCUAGAACUCCUGGCCUCAAGCGAUCCACCUGCCUCGGCCUCCCAAAGUGCUGGGAUUACAGACAUGAGUCACCACAUCUGGCAAUCUUACAUUUUAUAUGCUGUAUACACUGUUAACACUAAAAAACACUGUGAUAAAUUAAGAAUGUAUAUUGUGAUCCAGUGGCAGACAUUAAACAAUUAUAACAAUAAUGCAGAGGUAUACGUUAAAAGUCA